UACGUAGGGUCCGGGCGUUGUCCGGAAUUAUUGGGCGUAAAGGGCUCGUAGGCGGUUUGUUGCGUCGGGAGUGAAAACUUCGAGCUUAACUCGGAGCUUGCUUUCGAUACGGGCAGACUUGAGGCAUUCAGGGGAGAACGGAAUUUCUGGUGUAGCGGUGAAAUGCGCAGAUAUCAGAAGGAACACCGGUGGCGAAGGCGGUUCUCUGGGAAUGUUCUGACGCUGAGGAGCGAAAGUGUGGGGAGCGAACAGG
RNAcentral lists this ribosomal RNA (253 nucleotides) under uncultured bacterium. RNAcentral describes it as "partial 16S ribosomal RNA". It matches the Rfam family "Bacterial small subunit ribosomal RNA", at positions 524 to 776 of the family's 1533-position model. The record is from RNAcentral.